This is a long non-coding RNA of Silurus meridionalis, 431 nucleotides long. RefSeq lists it as uncharacterized. The record is from RefSeq and is a predicted model, not a curated record. Lineage: Eukaryota; Metazoa; Chordata; Actinopteri; Siluriformes; Siluridae. The transcript has 3 exons.
GAAAUUAGCACCAAACUGAACUGCACCUGAAGAACCAGCAUGCUGAGACUUCAUCUCACUUUAUUGCUUGUCAGUGUCCCUACAGCUUCACUGUUGGCUGAUGGCGCUAACAUACGACUCGCUAGUGGCGGUAACUCCUGCUCUGGUAGAGUGGAAAUCUAUUAUAAUAACCAGUGGGGAACAGUGUGUGAUGAUAGCUGGGAUCUGAAUGAUGCACAUGUGGUGUGUAGACAGCUUGGAUGUGGUAAAGCUGUCAGUGCUCAUCAAAGUGCCCACUUUGGUCAGGGAAGUGGCCCAAUAUGGCUGGAUGAUGUUCAGUGUUCUGGAAGUGAAAGUGACAUCACACAGUGCCGUCAUUAUGGAUUUGGGAAACAUGACUGUAGCCAUGGUGAAGAUGCUGGUGUUACUUGCUCAGGUACAGAAAACUUUUA